CGUAACAAGGUUUCCGUAGGUGAACCUGCGGAAGGAUCAUUAAUUG
RNAcentral lists this ribosomal RNA (46 nucleotides) under Camarosporidiella celtidis. RNAcentral describes it as "partial 18S ribosomal RNA". It matches the Rfam family "Eukaryotic small subunit ribosomal RNA", at positions 1790 to 1831 of the family's 1831-position model. Lineage: Eukaryota; Fungi; Ascomycota; Dothideomycetes; Pleosporales. The record is from RNAcentral.